GCUGGGUGGAUUAGUGGCGAACGGGUGAGUAACACGUGAGUAACCUGCCCUUAACUCUGGGAUAAGCCUGGGAAACUGGGUCUAAUACCGGAUAGGAGCGCCUACCGCAUGGUGGGUGUUGGAAAGAUUUAUCGGUUUUGGAUGGACUCGCGGCCUAUCAGCUUGUUGGUGAGGUAAUGGCUCACCAAGGCGACGACGGGUAGCCGGCCUGAGAGGGUGACCGGCCACACUGGGACUGAGACACGGCCCAGACUCCUACGGGAGGCAGCAGUGGGGAAUAUUGCACAAUGGGCGCAAGCCUGAUGCAGCGACGCCGCGUGAGGGAUGACGGCCUUCGGGUUGUAAACCUCUUUCAGUAGGGAAGAAGCGAAAGUGACGGUACCUGCAGAAGAAGCACCGGCUAACUACGUGCCAGCAGCCGCGGUAAUACGUAGGGUGCGAGCGUUAUCCGGAAUUAUUGGGCGUAAAGAGCUCGUAGGCGGUUUGUCGCGUCUGUCGUGAAAGUCCGGGGCUUAACCCCGGAUCUGCGGUGGGUACGGGCAGACUAGAGUGCAGUAGGGGAGACUGGAAUUCCUGGUGUAGCGGUGGAAUGCGCAGAUAUCAGGAGGAACACCGAUGGCGAAGGCAGGUCUCUGGGCUGUAACUGACGCUGAGGAGCGAAAGCAUGGGGAGCGAACAGGAUUAGAUACCCUGGUAGUCCAUGCCGUAAACGUUGGGCACUAGGUGUGGGGACCAUUCCACGGUUUCCGCGCCGCAGCUAACGCAUUAAGUGCCCCGCCUGGGGAGUACGGCCGCAAGGC
RNAcentral lists this ribosomal RNA (800 nucleotides) under Micrococcus sp. ZA1-W. Its description in RNAcentral is "bacterial SSU rRNA". It matches the Rfam family "Bacterial small subunit ribosomal RNA", at positions 82 to 894 of the family's 1533-position model. The record is from RNAcentral. Lineage: Bacteria; Bacillati; Actinomycetota; Actinomycetes; Micrococcales; Micrococcaceae.